CUUUUUGACAGCGGCUGUAACCCUGAGACCGGUGAUGUGAGCAAGCCUGGGCUGGCCUAAUAGAGAGGCCUUAUGCAGCAGGGCUGAGCCCAGGCAGCAGCCUGCCUAUGUCCAACCAGCCAAUUGCCAGACACGUGAGUGAGGUCAUCUUAGGCCAUCCAGCCCCAUUUAAGACCCUAGAGGACUACAGACACAUGAAUGACUCCAGGGAAGACCAGCAGCAGAACCACUCCGGUGACCUCAGCCCAAAUCGCUGAUCCAGAUUCAUGAGCAAGCCGUUAAGUCUGGCCAUGGUUUGUAACGCAGUGAUCAAUAACUGAUAUAGAAGGUCCUGCAGAGAGAGAAGACCACGAGAAGCAAAAAGCAGCAAGAUGACUGGAAAGAUUCAGGAAUUGGGAGCAGUGAAUAACUCAAAGUGCAGUGGAGGUUGGUGCUGAACAUCAGCAUUAGCUGACAAUUUGUAAAAGAAGCAGUUCCUGGCCAGGUGCCAUGGCUCACGCCUAUAAUCUCAGCACUUUGGGAGACCAAGGAGGGUGUAUCACGAGGUCAAGAGAUCGAGACCAUCCUGGCUAACACAGUGAAACCCUGUCUCUACGAAAAAGAACACAAAAAAUUAGCCAGGUGUGGUGGCACGGGCCUGUAGUCCCAGCUAUUCGGGAGGCUGAGGCAGGAGAAUCACUUUAACCUGAGAGGCGGAGGUUGCAGUGAGCCGAGAUCGAGUCACUGCACUCCAGCCUGGGUGACAGGGCUAGAGUCCGUCUCAUAAAUAAAAUGAAAUAAUAAAAAACAGAUGUUCAAACUCACUGGUAAUCAAUGAAAUGCAAGUUAAAACAAUGAGAUACCAUUUUAUACCUCG
This 856-nucleotide long non-coding RNA is filed under the name Homo sapiens (human). Its description in RNAcentral is "non-protein coding lnc-PAFAH1B1-3:6". The record is from RNAcentral. Lineage: Eukaryota; Metazoa; Chordata; Mammalia; Primates; Hominidae.